CAUGCCUCCAUCAGGACAGACCAGUGCUGUGCUGAGGCCCAGCAGAGCCAGACACACGAUCCCCAUCUGCAGCGUCUGAACAUGAGGAAAGGGCUGUCAGCAAACGUAGUUGUGACAGACCUCUAAAUCACUGUGGGGAAUGAUAACAAAGCUCAGUAAUCACAUGACACAGGCACACGUGACUCUGCAGUUUGGCGUUAAAGGGACAUUACACCGAAGUAACCAAUCACAUGGGCUGAUUACUAAUACAGUUCCCGAGAGGCAGCCCAUCUUGGCCAACCUCAAGCUCAGAAAGAGAAAGAGAGAGACCGACAGGCCGGUAAAUAUGACUGAAUUAUCCUAAAUAAUUGCCAGUUAAUUUUCUGCUGAUCUAAUAAAUGGAUUAAUU
Long non-coding RNA from Micropterus salmoides (largemouth bass), 388 nucleotides. RefSeq lists it as uncharacterized. The record is from RefSeq and is a predicted model, not a curated record. Lineage: Eukaryota; Metazoa; Chordata; Actinopteri; Centrarchiformes; Centrarchidae. The transcript is spliced from 4 exons.